CCUACGGGAGGCAGCAGUGGGGAAUAUUGGACAAUGGGCGCAAGCCUGAUCCAGCAAUGCCGCGUGAGUGAUGAGGGCCUUCGGGUCGUAAGGCUCUUUUACCCGGGAUGAUAAUGACAGUACCGGGAGAAUAAGCUCCGGCUAACUCCGUGCCAGCAGCCGCGGUAAUACGGAGGGAGCUAGCGUUGUUCGGAAUUACUGGGCGUAAAGCGCACGUAGGCGGUUAUUCAAGUCAGAGGUGAAAGCCCGGGGCUCAACCCCGGAACUGCCUUUGAAACUAGAUGACUAGAAUCUUGGAGAGGUCAGUGGAAUUCCGAGUGUAGAGGUGAAAUUCGUAGAUAUUCGGAAGAACACCAGUGGCGAAGGCGACUGACUGGACAAGUAUUGACGCUGAGGCGCGAAAGCGUGGGGAGCAAACAGGAUUAGAUACCCUGGUAGUCCACGCCGUAAACGAUGAUAACUAGCUGUCCGGGUACUUGGUAUUUGGGUGGCGCAGCUAACGCAUUAAGUUAUCCGCCUGGGGAUACGGUCGCAAGAUUAAACUACAAUGAAUUGACGGUGAGAGACGUCGACCGAGCGACGACGGAGGGUAGAGG
RNAcentral lists this ribosomal RNA (596 nucleotides) under uncultured bacterium. RNAcentral's name for it is "bacterial SSU rRNA". It matches the Rfam family "Bacterial small subunit ribosomal RNA", at positions 338 to 952 of the family's 1533-position model. The record is from RNAcentral.